Triticum dicoccoides is the source of this 1595-nucleotide long non-coding RNA. RefSeq lists it as uncharacterized. The transcript has 7 exons. The record is from RefSeq and is a predicted model, not a curated record. NCBI's taxonomy places the organism in Eukaryota, Viridiplantae, Streptophyta, Magnoliopsida, Poales, Poaceae.
AGUCGCCGCCCCUCCCCCACCAUCUCAUGCCCCCUGGGCCGCUCACCAUCCCGUAUCCUCAGCGUGCCGGCCUCCACCAUCCCCAGCGUGCCAACCUCCAGUUCUUCACCUACCCCAUCGUGACGCUGCCCAAUCUUCUUCCUCCUGGAUUCUCCUAGCCAUGGCGAGUGCCUCCUCCCUGCGCCAAGCUCGCUCCAGACUACGCAGAGCCACCAACCCCCACCGCCUCACGUGCAGUACAACCCCACCCAUGUACGAGGUUCAAAGACCUUGCAGAGAGAAGGAAAUGAUAUGUUAAGGUCAGCAGCUUCCUCGUUGCCAUCCCGGUCGUGGCUUUUCUGUGGCACGCCUCCCACUGCUUCUCCUUGCUGGACUAGUCAACCUACAAGAGAUCAACUCAAACAAAAAGUACUCAAGGUGGACUUAAGCUGAACUGGUGAUGGUCUUAGAAACGGCAUGUUUGAAAGUGGCCAAGGUUCUUGAAAGCUAAAAACUUUGAACCUUGUAAACGACAGCAAGCUUUUUGCCAUUUGUUUCACUUACUAGAGCGCUUUGCUAAUGGGUACGAUAAGUAUAACAUAAGUGAAUGAAAAGAGAGGUCUCGUCCAACUAAUUAGUUUUCUCUGUAUUUUUAGUUCCAUGUACUGUCUGAUCAAUUCUACUGUAGCUCUGAACAGCAGGAGAAAAAUAAAGAAAGUUCAAGUAAAAUCUCAAAUAAAAAUUAUGUUCAAGUUGAAGCCCAGGAGUAUAUACAUAUGGAGCGGACAUGGCAAUCGAUCUUGUUGAUGAUUAUCAAUAAAUAGAUGGUGAAGUUGGCAAACGGCUGAAUCAGAUGGUGCCUACCCCUAAAAAUUAUCAGUUACAAGUAUCUACAUUUUGUCGAAAGUUCUUCGGUAUAGCCCCCUCUCCAUCAAAGUAGAAGAGUGAUCGUCGCAUGUGUUCGUUCAAUAAGGGCUUUGGUGACGGUCCGCUGCUGGUGGCCGCCUCACCGUGGUUAAGUUUGGCGUAGUCGCAUGUGUCGCUUUUUGUUGUGGCCGGUCUCCAGUUCUCAGGUUAGAAAAAGGUUUCACUUCACUUUGCUGAAGUUCAUCUAGAAUCUUGGAAUCCGAUGUGGUCUGUGGCAAGGUACAUCCAAUGACAACGAGCAGGCGGCAAGUGUACUUAUGCGCAGCGGGACGGUGGCAUGGAGCAGUUGAGUAGGUGUGCGUGGUCAUUCACUGCCUCGACACAAGGCCGUUCGACGAUGCAGCGCUCAAGCCGUUCACCCUUACCACCACAAGCUGUUCACCCUUACCACCGCAAGCCGUUCACCUCCGCCACACGAGGCCGUGCGACGACGCAGUGAUCAGACCGUUCACCUCUGCCAUAGGAGGCCGAUGCAAACACUAAGGAGUUGUGUUCUUUUUCAGUACAUGUUUUUGUGCUUUUUAGUACACCUACUUAACGAUUCUAUGUCCAAUUUUCUCUGUUUACAUGUUCUUCCUAUAGCACAAAAGGUGUUGUGUGUUAAGCCUUAAUAAGCAUUUGAGAAAAUCUUGUAUGGAUCUAAACUAGCAUAUGUUCGUUCUAUUCUUGUAAAUGAAGCUCCACUUCUG